RNAcentral lists this ribosomal RNA (822 nucleotides) under Escherichia coli. RNAcentral describes it as "partial 23S ribosomal RNA". It matches the Rfam family "Bacterial large subunit ribosomal RNA", at positions 144 to 1005 of the family's 2925-position model. Lineage: Bacteria; Pseudomonadati; Pseudomonadota; Gammaproteobacteria; Enterobacterales; Enterobacteriaceae. RNAcentral also lists the same sequence under 1 other name. The record is from RNAcentral.
CACACUAUCAUUAACUGAAUCCAUAGGUUAAUGAGGCGAACCGGGGGAACUGAAACAUCUAAGUACCCCGAGGAAAAGAAAUCAACCGAGAUUCCCCCAGUAGCGGCGAGCGAACGGGGAGCAGCCCAGAGCCUGAAUCAGUGUGUGUGUUAGUGGAAGCGUCUGGAAAGGCGCGCGAUACAGGGUGACAGCCCCGUACACAAAAAUGCACAUGCUGUGAGCUCGAUGAGUAGGGCGGGACACGUGGUAUCCUGUCUGAAUAUGGGGGGACCAUCCUCCAAGGCUAAAUACUCCUGACUGACCGAUAGUGAACCAGUACCGUGAGGGAAAGGCGAAAAGAACCCCGGCGAGGGGAGUGAAAAAGAACCUGAAACCGUGUACGUACAAGCAGUGGGAGCACGCUUAGGCGUGUGACUGCGUACCUUUUGUAUAAUGGGUCAGCGACUUAUAUUCUGUAGCAAGGUUAACCGAAUAGGGGAGCCGAAGGGAAACCGAGUCUUAACUGGGCGUUAAGUUGCAGGGUAUAGACCCGAAACCCGGUGAUCUAGCCAUGGGCAGGUUGAAGGUUGGGUAACACUAACUGGAGGACCGAACCGACUAAUGUUGAAAAAUUAGCGGAUGACUUGUGGCUGGGGGUGAAAGGCCAAUCAAACCGGGAGAUAGCUGGUUCUCCCCGAAAGCUAUUUAGGUAGCGCCUCGUGAAUUCAUCUCCGGGGGUAGAGCACUGUUUCGGCAAGGGGGUCAUCCCGACUUACCAACCCGAUGCAAACUGCGAAUACCGGAGAAUGUUAUCACGGGAGACACACGGCGGGUGCUAACGUC